RNAcentral lists this ribosomal RNA (484 nucleotides) under uncultured bacterium. RNAcentral's name for it is "partial 16S ribosomal RNA". It matches the Rfam family "Bacterial small subunit ribosomal RNA", at positions 30 to 507 of the family's 1533-position model. The record is from RNAcentral.
AUUGAACGCUGGCGGAAUGCUUUACACAUGCAAGUCGAGCGGCAGCACGGGGGCAACCCUGGUGGCGAGCGGCGAACGGGUGAGUAAUACAUCGGAACAUGCCCAGUCGUGGGGGAUAACACUUCGAAAGAAGUGCUAAUACCGCAUACGUCCUGAGGGAGAAAGCGGGGGAUCGCAAGACCUCGCGCGAUUGGAGUGGCCGAUGUCAGAUUAGCUAGUUGGUGGGGUAAAGGCCUACCAAGGCAACGAUCUGUAGCUGGUCUGAGAGGAUGAUCAGCCACACUGGGACUGAGACACGGCCCAGACUCCUACGGGAGGCAGCAGUGGGGAAUUUUGGACAAUGGGGGCAACCCUGAUCCAGCCAUUCCGCGUGAGUGAAGAAGGCCUUCGGGUUGUAAAGCUCUUUCGGCAGGAACGAAACGGUGAGCUCUAACAUAGCUCGAUAAUGACGGUACCUGAAGAAGAAGCACCGGCUAACUACGUG